This 1194-nucleotide long non-coding RNA is filed under the name Numida meleagris (helmeted guineafowl). Its description in RNAcentral is "lncRNA (ENSNMEG00000016157.1)". The record is from RNAcentral. Lineage: Eukaryota; Metazoa; Chordata; Aves; Galliformes; Numididae.
GGGGUGCAGGCAGCUGCUUGGUGCUGGGAGCUCACAAGAGUCUGGCUCAGCUCAGCUCACUUCAGCUCAGUGCAGCUCAGCUUAGCAAGACCCAGUUCCACUCAUCUGCACUCAGCUCAGCUCAGCACGGCUCACUUCAGCUUGGCUCUGCUCAGAAAAUCUCAGCAUGGCUCAGUUCAGUUCAGCUCGGCACGGCUCCACUCAGCUCAGAUUGGUCCAGCUCGGUUUGACUCGGUUUGGCAAGGCACUGCACUGCUUGGCUCGGCAUGGCACGGCUCGGCAUGGCUUGGCAAGGCAGGGCACGGCUCGGCACGGCACGGCACGGCACGGCACGGCACGGCACGGCACGGCACGGCACGGCACAACCGAUCCAACCGCCGGGCCCCUCGCCCCUCUCACCCGACCGGGACAGGAGCGGGGCCGUCCCGGGGCGGAGCCACCCGGCUGUCCCCGCCCCGCAGAGCCGGGGGCUUCGCCGUGCCCCCGCCGGGCCGGGAUGGCAGCGGGACAGACGGACGGCGGCGGGACAGCGGGACAGCGGGACGCUCCGAUCCGGGCCGGGGCUCCGCAGCGCGUCCGUCCCCGCUCCCCUCGGUGCCGCCGGGGGAUAUUUUCCCUUCUCCUCAUUUCUCCGGAGUGGGAAGGCGGGGGGCUGCCAGUGGUCCUAGAGGCAGAGCACACGGGUGCUGCCCUGCGCUGACCGCCCCAUGCCCCCAUAGCGCGGUGCCGUGCCCGGGGCGAUGCUGUGAGCUCCGCUCGGAUGGUCUCAGUUCCUCCCUGCCCUCCACUCCUCCUGCCCAGAUGCAGUGGAUAAUAUUCAUGCUGCUGUUAUUCAUCAGCUCCGUGGAAAUGCUCUCGCAGAACCGAUGGAAGAAGCAAGGUAGGGUGGGUGCGGUGCGUGCAGGGGAUUGGAUUUGCCAAUAUUUCUGUUCCGUGCUCGACGCAGGAGGUGCACAAGGAGCAAAACACUCUGGAAGGAUGCUCGGAGGCACCACCAUCCCCUGCCCCAUCCUUCCCCCAGCAGAGGGACCCGGGGCGCAGAGCAGGGUGCUCAAAGACGUGUCCCCUCUGCUGGGCAAUGACAUGAGAUGCUCAAUUUGUGACCUGGGGUGGGGAUGGGUUAUGGUGAGAGCAGGGCUUUUUGGAGGCCGCAGAAUGGACAGCCUUCCCUGUGUUCAUUGUACAUGGUUGUAA